RNAcentral lists this transfer RNA (75 nucleotides) under Bradyrhizobium sp. 6(2017). RNAcentral describes it as "tRNA-Glu". RNAcentral also lists the same sequence under 1 other name. The record is from RNAcentral. Lineage: Bacteria; Pseudomonadati; Pseudomonadota; Alphaproteobacteria; Hyphomicrobiales; Nitrobacteraceae.
UGACGAACGGAGAGGGACUUAUUAUUUGGCCCUCUCAAGGCUGAAACAGGGGUUCGAUUCCCCUAGGGAGCGCCA